UACAGCCAAACCACCCUGAACAUGCCCAAUCUCGUCUGAUCUCGGAAGCUAAGCAGGGUCGAGCCUGGUUAGUACUUGAAUGGGAGGAUUUGCUGUAU
Ribosomal RNA from Erinaceus europaeus (western European hedgehog), 98 nucleotides. The record is from Ensembl. Lineage: Eukaryota; Metazoa; Chordata; Mammalia; Eulipotyphla; Erinaceidae.